GGAUUAGAUACCCUGGUAGUCCACGCUGUAAACGAUGGAUACUAAGUGCUGGGAAGUAUUUUUCAGUGCUGUAGCUAACGCGUUAAGUAUCCCGCCUGGGGAGUACGGUCGCAAGGCUGAAACUCAAAGAAAUUGACGGGGGCCCGCACAAGCGGUGGAGUAUGUGGUUUAAUUCGAUGCAACGCGCAGAACCUUACCUAGGUUUGACAUCUGUAGAAUUUCCCCGAAAAGGGAAAGUGCUCCUCGGAGAGCUACAAGACAGGUGCUGCAUGGCUGUCGUCAGCUCGUGCCG
RNAcentral lists this ribosomal RNA (292 nucleotides) under uncultured bacterium. RNAcentral's name for it is "partial 16S ribosomal RNA". It matches the Rfam family "Bacterial small subunit ribosomal RNA", at positions 775 to 1067 of the family's 1533-position model. The record is from RNAcentral.